Oryzias melastigma (Indian medaka) is the source of this 1870-nucleotide long non-coding RNA. RefSeq lists it as uncharacterized. The record is from RefSeq and is a predicted model, not a curated record. Lineage: Eukaryota; Metazoa; Chordata; Actinopteri; Beloniformes; Adrianichthyidae. The transcript is spliced from 3 exons.
CCUCUGACUCGUGACUUGACUUGGACUUUGAUAUACAUAACUUGUGACUUGACUCGGACUUUAGCCCUCUGACUCGGAAAGACUUGCCAUUUUCCCCCCAAAUCCACGGAUUAUAAAGUAUAAAGUAUAAAGAGAGAAAGCCGCGCGCACUGCGGUCUCUCUAUCCGUCUUAUUUACAUCCGUCUGCGGUGUCGGCCCAACAUCCAAUCAAAUUAGAGCCACGUUUGAUUGAUGUGACAGUCAGACCAAUCAAAUUGCAGAAAAACAUAGUCCCGCCUCCCCUUUAAAAGCACGAGUUCCUGUUUGCCGGUGUUUUUAGUUGUGGCAUAAAAGUUUUGAGAUCGUCAACAACAAACGGUUUGCAGUUCGGAGAACAUGUGGAUUUAAGGAUUACUCACAGAGAUUCAACAUCAACUAACUUCAUCUGACUGUAGGAGCAGCAAAAUCAAGAGCCGUUUCUGUUUGGAUCCACUCUUUACCCCGGCAGCCUGAAAAACCUGGUGGGAUGGAUUUCCUGGAGGAGACUGAAGUGGCUAAACCAAGUUAAAAAUUGCAAACUGCAGGUGGAGAUGGAGGACGGCGAGGAGGUCCCACAGAUGCUCCACCUAUAUCCACCUCGACGGCUUCCUGCUUGAUGGUUAUCCUGGUGGAAUCCAGCUCAGGGGAAAUUUGAGGAGAGGCACAGGAGUUAUCCGGAGGUUCUUCUUUAACUUUUAGAAAAACCCGAGGCUCCGGGGCUCCUCUGCUUUCAAGCUCCAGCUGCAUCCUCAGCACCUCCACCAGCUUCUGCUUCUGCUUCAGCAUCCUGGUGAGCUCUGCAAUCUGCUUGUCCUUCUCCUGCAGCAUUCUGUCUUUGUCUGCCGUCACCAGAGGGGCUGCGGCCGAAGUCGCAGGGGACGCAGGCAAGCGGUGUUUCUGCAGAGACACAGACUUUAAGGAGAACUGACAAGGUGUUCUGGUGCUACAAGGGGGCUCUUUCUUAAUGUUGGCAGGACGUCGAGCCACCGAAGACGGCUGAAGGUUGAACUCAGUGGGAGAGCAACUCUGGAGAGACAGAAAAAAAGACAUUUUUAACAUGACAUUUUGGUCUUUCCUCUGCAUGUUUUUUUCAACUUUUACUUAGAUUUUUGCAGCCUUUUAAUAAUAAAUGUUACUAAAUAGUUGCAUUUAUAUUACAUAACUGGGCUUUUGUCAUUCAGUUAUGCUCUCAGCCUCAAGAACUUAAACAUGCAUUAUGCAAAUCUCAUCAAAAUUCAAUUUUCUUUAAGAAUAUAAUAUGGUUGCAAAAUACAGAUGAAGAUUUAUUAGCCAAAAAAUGUACUUAGGAAUAGAAAUAGAUUAUUUUUAGGUACAUGUUAAAAAUUAGACAUCAAAAUAACAAGUAAUGUCAGAAAACAAAAGGGAACUUAAGGUGAAACUGUGCAAAUACAGUGUAACAGAAAACAGUCAAAACAAUAAGUAAGUAGAACUUUUGGAAAAUAAAAGGGUAUUUAUUUACUAGGGAUGCUACAAUUCUCUGUUCAAAACUGAACUCUAUGUUUACACCAUUGCAUAGAAUUUUAGGGAAAGUGAAUUGUUGCAUUCUUCUGCAUGCAUAAUAUUUAUGUUAAAAGUGUCAAACACGUGUGUUGUGCUAAAUUUAAUACAUUUAAUUGUGUUUUAUUACAUUACAUCAGAGAUAGUAUUAGCGAACUAAAAUGACUUUCUUAGCUGUUUCUUGAUUAUUAGCAAAAAAAUAAUUUUCCAGAUUUUUUUUUUUGUUUUUUGUUCUUAUCCAAAAAUCGAGGUUUCAAACUGAAUCGAAGGGAAAGUAAAUCAUUGCAUCCCUGGUGUCUCAACCAACAUUAAAUAAAUACUGUUUUUUUGUUUA